Molecule: ribosomal RNA, 223 nt
Filed under: uncultured bacterium
Lineage: Bacteria
Description: partial 16S ribosomal RNA
Rfam family: Bacterial small subunit ribosomal RNA
Source: RNAcentral
UAACGCGUGGAUAACCUGCCUCACACAGGGGGAUAACAGUUAGAAAUGACUGCUAAUACCGCAUAAGCGCACGGCAUCGCAUGAUGCAGUGUGAAAAACUCCGGUGGUGUGAGAUGGAUCCGCGUCUGAUUAGGUAGUUGGUGGGGUAACGGCCUACCAAGCCGACGAUCAGUAGCCGACCUGAGAGGGUGACCGGCCACAUUGGGACUGAGACACGGCCCAA